UAUCUCUGUAAAACAAAUAUUGAUCUUUUCAAUGUAUAAUUUUUACUAUCUACUGAUCUCUUGCAUUAAAACUAUGAGUCACGUUUCUAUAUAUAUUUUAGCAAUUGUCUCGAAUGGAGGAUGAUUCCGACUCAAUUGUUUGAAAGACUGAUCAUUGACAGUGUAUUUGUAAUGCAAUUUUGCUAUCGCAAAUUACAAUUACUAUUUAAGACAUGUGUUUACUACAGAUAAGAAAUUGUUUCUUUUUACAGAAAUAAACGCAUGUCGAAAAAUCGAUCAUCGUUUUGCAACUGACGUGCUGCAAAUUGGCAAGAAAGAGAAUUUUUUGAGCGAUGAAUCAUCCGAAUUAUCUUACACACACCUCUUGGAAUUUAUACAACUUCACACACACGCCCGCUCCGUAUGCCGCGAAUACGUCUUGAUUACCAAUCAUCCACGUUAAUCCCACGACUGUGUUGUCCACGGAAAUGGUUCGCUGGCCGACAUGCUACGUAAUGUAAUUCACAAUUACGUAACGAAAAGAUAAAAUUGACUGAUGUGAAAUAAAAUAAAUUUUCGUAAACAU
Molecule: long non-coding RNA, 565 nt
Organism: Vollenhovia emeryi
Lineage: Eukaryota; Metazoa; Arthropoda; Insecta; Hymenoptera; Formicidae
Exons: 2
Source: RefSeq, a predicted model, not a curated record